This 80-nucleotide small RNA is filed under the name Flavobacterium anhuiense. RNAcentral's name for it is "Flavo-1 RNA". It matches the Rfam family "Flavo-1 RNA". Lineage: Bacteria; Pseudomonadati; Bacteroidota; Flavobacteriia; Flavobacteriales; Flavobacteriaceae. The record is from RNAcentral.
UUUUAACCCUGAUGGAAGUGGAAAUCCUUUUGCUUUUUUCUUUAAAAAGCAAAAGAUUGGAGCGGACAGCAGGAACCCAU